Long non-coding RNA from Esox lucius (northern pike), 2243 nucleotides. The record is from Ensembl. Lineage: Eukaryota; Metazoa; Chordata; Actinopteri; Esociformes; Esocidae.
GGAGCUCAGAGUAGAGCCGCUGCUCCUCCACAUCGAGAGGGGUCAGCUGAGGUGGCUUGGGCAUCUUUUUCGGAUGCCUCCGGAACGCCUUCCUGGGAAGGUGUUCCGGUCCCGUCCCACCGGGAGGAGACCCCGGGGAAGACCUAGGACACGCUGGAGGGACUAUGUCUCCUGGCUGGCCUGGGAACGCCUCGGUGUCCCCCCGGAAGAGCUAGAGGAAGUGUCUGGGGAGAGGGAAGUCUGGGCAUCCCUGCUUAGACUGCUGCCCCCGCGACCCGGCCCCGGAUAAGCGGAAGAAGAUGGUAUGGGUCUGCAGAAGGCAAACACACAGAGGAAGAUCAACAACCAAGUUGCCAAGGUCUGGAUCUUUGUUUGAGAGAUCAAAAUGUACCCUAUUCAAUUGGAUGAAAUUCAUCUACAGAUUUGCACAAGGGCUUAGCUUGAGGCAAAUUGAUAUGCUCAGGGAAGGGAUUACUGGAACUUCUCAAACACUCUCCAAGAUGGCAAAAACACUGAGGAGAGUCUAUCGCCACUCAAUGAAGGCAUAUGUCAGAAGAAAGGGCCAAGUCGUUGGACGACACAGGGAAUUUGUCAUGAUUGAUGAAAGCAACUUCCGUCAUAAACGAAAGAUAUGGAUUUUUCUUUCCAACUCUGCCUACAAGGCCAGCAUCCAAAGACGCAUCAUCACUGUUGACAUUGAGGCUGGGGUUUUGCAGUAUGGACGAGGAAGGGUUGCACAGACAUGGGCUCGAAGAAAGUGGGUGUUCGGGAUUCUUGGCGUUUCACAAAGAAGAAGGAGGCCCAUUCUGAGACUGGUUAAGCGUAGGUCUAGACGUCACCUGGUACCCUUAAUUGAGCGGCAUGUGUAUCCUGGAAGCCAAAUCAUCAGUGACGAAUGGCGGGCUUACAGAGGCAUACUCACCUUUGUGAACCACAGUCGAUGGUUUGUGGACGCAAGAACAGGAGGCCAUACACAAAAUCUAGAGAGAGCAUGGUCUACUUUCAAAGGGUAUGUAUGGCGGAUGAGAGGGAACAGAACUGAGUCCAUGCUAAAGGAGCACCUCUUCCUAAUUGAGUGGACUUAUUGGCUUGGCAACUGCCACAGAUACGGUCCACUUGGGAGAUUGUUGAAGGACAUUCGGCACAUGUUCCACUUAUAAGGUGUUUCAUUUGUAGAUCAUGCAUGUAAUCCUAGGGAAAUUCUUUAGCUUUGUUAGGUUCUGUUUAUGCUCGGUUUAGAUUUUGCUUUUGUUUUUUACCGUGAUCUGUUUGGUUUUGGUCCUUUGAUUUUGAAUGCAGCUUGUCCUUUUGUAUUAUUAAGUCUGUUUUCUUAAAAUACCUGUUUGUUUAAGCGACCUUUGUGUGUGCCUGUGUCCUGCUACCCCUGUUGCAUUAUGACAACCUUACUAUAAAGAUCUUACAUUUUAUUAAUCUUUAAUUAUAAUCAAACAAAUUAUUAUUGUCUGCAAGUGCAUUUAAGCUAUGAAAACAUAGUUAUGUCUUUACAGUUUACAAGGAUCACAAAGCUACUUAACUAAUAAUUAAUUAUCAGUACUUAAUAGUUUAUAACCAUUUGCAAGCUCUAUUCAACAAUUACUAAACGAAUGAAUAGUCAUGACUUUACAACAAGGAUAACACAUUACCUUAACUAAUUAUUAAUUAUCAGUAUGUUACAGUUCAUAAUCAUCUAAAAGCAUUAAUAAACUAAAGAUAACUAAGAAAUAGAUGAGUUAAGCAUUACAGACACAUUUUUAAUACAAUACAUUUCUACUUAACAGUCAUUAGGAUGAAUAAAUGAGAUCUGCAUUUUUGCACAAAUUACAUUUGGGUAAUAUUACUUUGGAGUUAAUGUAAUGCAUUUCUUUGUGAGAACAUUCAAGCAUGUUUAAAGUAUAUAUAUAUAUCAUAGAUUCUUGAAACAGCAGAAUUAUACAUGUGAUAAUUAAGCAAUACAUUAGGAGUGUAACACAUGAGUUCUUGAACUUCAUGACAUAUCAAGAAGAAAUAAUACACAGGAUUGACAACAGCUAUUAUUGUUCAUGAUGGACACAAGAAAAAGCAAGUAAGUAAGCAACAGGUCACUGAGUAACAAGUAAGGUAAUGUUCACGAAGGACUAAAGCCUGGCUUCUGUGACUGGACAGUAUUCAGCAACAAAUGACAGUAGUUGGGGGAAAGGUGUUGUUUGUUAAAGGAAUUAGGGUUAUUCUAUAUGUUGCCUUCUAAGAAAUGACUUCAUUUGAAC